AUGAGCAACCUGAUGGUAGAUACAGUCUCUCUGAUAGAAGGUACAUCUACACCUGAGAGCCCAAGGAAGCUGGGAAGGAAAGCAGUGGGAAGUGAGUCCAGCUGGGAUUGUGAGAGCUGGUGGAGGGGCUUGCAGACAAACUGCUGCUGAGUCAGGGACUGCCCAGCCCAGGAGUGGAGAAAACUCCUCCAGCAGAAUACCAGAAAGUACUAACAAAUUCUGCUGUGAGCCAAAAGAAGGGGCUUACAGAGGGCAGAGCUGACAGAUGGGAGAAGGUGUAGCAAAGGCCCAAGACAGGGAGAGGUAGGAAGAGGUCUAAGAAGGCAGCUAGAGGGUCAUGUACACUGGCCCUGACUACCUAUUCAAGGGUGCCUAGACUGGAACCCAGUGGAGAGGGAAGGCCCGGGUUUCCCUAUCAGCUGACUGAGGACUGUGGGGAAAUGCCCUCAGCAAGGAGUUAUGACUAGUGAAACUUCCCUGAUGCUAUGGGUAAGGGCUAGUGAGUCCAGACGCGGACUGAGAGUUGACUACUAUGUUUUGGAUUUACCCUGAAAGGGGUGGAAUUAUAUGUGACUCAGGUAGAAUAGCAAAAGGCAGACCACAGUAUGGCUGGAAGAGCUGUCAGCAGGGGGUGCUGUAGGAGGCCUGCAAAGUCUCACCCCAGAAUUAGGAGAUCUGCAUUGUGCUGGCUGGUGAGUCACACACUUACACCCUUCAAUCACUGAGGACAGUUUAUAAAACAGAUGACAAGUUGUGACACAAAUACACUUCUUUUAGCACAGAACAGCCAAGGAGAGAGCCUGAGGUGUUACACAAUGCAGGAGUGUGAUGGAGUGUUCACCUCACACUUUCCCCAGAGGCUGAGAAAGGGCCAAUUAACUGGAUAGGCCCCAUCUGAGGGAAAUUAGAUGGGGAUGAAGCCCAGCUGAGAAGGAAUAGGUAGGGCUAGUAUAAAGCCAGCAAGCUGGCAGAAGAAAAGAGGCUGGAGUGAGGGUGUCUGUAAACACUAGAGCAGAAAGGAAGGAUGCCUAAAUGGAGAUGUAGGAAAAAGCUCAGGGAAAUAGAAGUGAUGUUUAAGACCUUGGCUGCUGAUUAGAAGGUCCUGGAACUAGAACCGAGAGGGUGGGCCUGGUUCACCUCCCAGCCACUGGUGAAGUGGCACAGUGAGGGAGAAGACUGACAUUUUUGGAGAGAGAUACUUUGAGAACCCCUGGAAGGGGAAAAUACACAGUGAGGUGGCUGGAGGACCAAGCCACAAAGAGAGAUCACUGAGUCACAGAGAGAGGUGGCAGGGCUCAUGAAUGAGCGACAGAAGGGAGCGUUGGACUGAUGAGGAGCUAAUCCCUGAACAGCCAGGAGGAGGUGCCCUAGCGUGACUUUCUGUUGGGUGUGAUGUUGAAAGUGGCUGGGUUACUGAACUGUGUGAUGGACCCAGGAGGAAGGCUCAAAACCAGAAUAGUGCGAGACAACCCCAGAAGAAAGUUGCAGACUCUUCUCUACUGCUGCUGUAGCAGAGGUGGAAAGAAUCACAGUGACGCUAAUGUGAGGAGAAAGAAGGAAGCAGGGAGGAAACCACAGAAUACAGAGUAGCCACUGUAAAGAAGAUACAAUUCAGCUGCUGCACAGAGCCACAUAUGCCUUGAAUCUCUGCCUCAUUUUCUUUCAUCUCUCCCCUUUAUGGAAAAAAGAAGGAAAAAAAAUUUUUUUGCAACCCUCAAGACAACAAUCACACACUAACUGAAACUAACAGAGCAACAUUUGUAUUGCCACAGCCUGGUUCCCCAAUAACCUCUCCAUAUACUAUUUGCAUUUCAAUAGACCUUCAAGCUUCCAGUAAUUGUUGUGGAGGGUAAAAAGGCUACUAUUUAUUAGACUUACAUCAGCUUUGGCAAGUCUGAGAAGAUAACAGUAACAUUGAUAGCAGCUGACCUGAAUCAUGACAGCAUAUUGUUUGCAGUUCUGUAUGAGUCUGGG
Dermochelys coriacea (leatherback sea turtle) is the source of this 1974-nucleotide long non-coding RNA. RefSeq lists it as uncharacterized. Lineage: Eukaryota; Metazoa; Chordata; Testudines; Dermochelyidae. The record is from RefSeq and is a predicted model, not a curated record. The transcript is spliced from 3 exons.